CUAUGGAGAGAAAAUCAGUGCUGAGUAUUGUGAAGAAUUAAC
RNAcentral lists this small RNA (42 nucleotides) under Anaerobutyricum hallii. RNAcentral describes it as "CRISPR_Spacer". Lineage: Bacteria; Bacillati; Bacillota; Clostridia; Lachnospirales; Lachnospiraceae. The record is from RNAcentral.